AUUGAACGCUGGCGGAAUGCUUUACACAUGCAAGUCGAGCGGCAGCGCGGGGCAACCUGGCGGCGAGCGGCGAACGGGUGAGUAAUGCAUCGGAACGUACCCAGUCGUGGGGGAUAACUGUCCGAAAGGACAGCUAAUACCGCAUACGUCCUGAGGGAGAAAGCGGGGGAUCGCAAGACCUCGCGCGAUUGGAGCGGCCGAUGCCGGAUUAGCUAGUUGGUAGGGUAAAGGCCUACCAAGGCGACGAUCCGUAGCUGGUCUGAGAGGACGACCAGCCACACUGGAACUGAGACACGGUCCAGACUCCUACGGGAGGCAGCAGUGGGGAAUUUUGGACAAUGGGGGCAACCCUGAUCCAGCCAUUCCGCGUGAGUGAAGAAGGCCU
RNAcentral lists this ribosomal RNA (385 nucleotides) under uncultured bacterium. Its description in RNAcentral is "bacterial SSU rRNA". It matches the Rfam family "Bacterial small subunit ribosomal RNA", at positions 29 to 417 of the family's 1533-position model. The record is from RNAcentral.